RNAcentral lists this long non-coding RNA (394 nucleotides) under Homo sapiens (human). RNAcentral's name for it is "HSALNT0407280". Lineage: Eukaryota; Metazoa; Chordata; Mammalia; Primates; Hominidae. The record is from RNAcentral.
ACCCUGGAGAAAGAAUCUUACAAAGAAUACUAAAGAGCAUCCAAGUGUGAAGAAUGAAACACACAAUGCACAUGAAGUCCAGCCAUGGUGUAGCCAAGGAGACCCACUAAGACCACCAAAAGCUUGGAAAUGAGGAUGCAGGGGCAAAGGACGGCAUUAUAGGCGUGAGUGAUAAGAAAUUAUACAGGAAUGACACAUUUGGCAAUAAAGAACACAAAGAGAUAGUUCCUGGACCUGAACAGGAAAAGACGGUGCCAGGAUACUAUGAAGAAUCUUCACAAGCACUGAUUGAAUAGUAAACAAAUAUUUGUGCUCUUCAGGCAUGAAAAACAAAAUAUCAACAAACAGGCAUGGAUUCUUCUGCAGCAUGAGUGAGUUCAGAGGCAGUUCAAAG